Molecule: long non-coding RNA, 631 nt
Organism: Carassius auratus (goldfish)
Lineage: Eukaryota; Metazoa; Chordata; Actinopteri; Cypriniformes; Cyprinidae
Exons: 3
Source: RefSeq, a predicted model, not a curated record
GUGUCUCAUUAGAUUAUCAGCAGUCAUCAAAACCUGCAAAAGAGCUCUGCUAAAUGACUGUGGCAUAACUGACAAAAGUUGUCCAGCUCUGGCUUCAGUUAUUGGAUCAGAUACCAAUCUGAAAGAGCUGAACAUAAACAAUAAUAAUCUGCAGGACUCAGGAGUGAAGCUGCUCUGCACUGGACUUAAGGAUAUAAAUUGCAAACUAGAGAUACUGAGUCUGAAGAACAACUGUAUCACAGAAGGAGGUUGUAAUGUUCUGGCUGCAGCUCUAAAUUCAAACCCUUCAAAUCUGACAGAGCUGGAUCUGAACAGGAAUCAAAUAGGAGACUCUGGAGUGACAGAAAUCUCAGAUUAGGGCAGCACGAUGUGUCGUUUAAGCAUUGAUAUCGCAAUGUACGAAUCCACGAUAGUCACAUCGCAGGAUGUGCGAUGUAGGCUGUCGUAGUUGUUCCAUUAUUCAUUAACCGUACGGGCCAGCUGCUCCCCGACCCUUGAUGAAUGUAAUUCGCGGAUUAGUUGCACAGCUUAACCAUCAUAGAGUGAAAGUUUAUCAUUUGCAUGUGUUUUUAAGUCCUAUCAGUUUAACAGGGCACAUAUAAGAACAAGCAGAGAGAGAGAGAGAGAGAGA